UACAGAGGGUGCGAGCGUUGUCCGGAAUUACUGGGCGUAAAGGGCGCGUAGGCGGCCCGAUAAGUCGGAGGGGAAAGUCAGCGGCUCAACCGCUGGACUGCCUUCGAGACUGUUAGGCUUGAGCAUGGUAGAGGCUGGCGGAAUUCCCGGUGUAGAGGUGAAAUUCGUAGAUAUCGGGAGGAACACCAGUGGCGAAGGCGGCGAUCUGGGUCGAUACUGACGCUGAGGUGCGAAAGCGUGGGGAGCAAACAGG
RNAcentral lists this ribosomal RNA (253 nucleotides) under uncultured bacterium. Its description in RNAcentral is "partial 16S ribosomal RNA". It matches the Rfam family "Bacterial small subunit ribosomal RNA", at positions 524 to 776 of the family's 1533-position model. The record is from RNAcentral.